CCAGACUCCUACGGGAGGCAGCAGUGAGGAAUAUUGGUCAAUGGGCGAGAGCCUGAACCAGCCAAGUCGCGUGAGGGAUGACUGCCCUAUGGGUUGUAAACCUCUUUUGUAUGGGGGGAAUAAGCUUUACGAGUAGAGUGAUGACAGUACCAUACGAAUAAGCAUCGGCUAACUCCGUGCCAGCAGCCGCGGUAAUACGUAGGUGGCGAGCGUUAUCCGGAAUGAUUGGGCGUAAAGGGUGCGUAGGCGGUCGAUUAAGUCUGGAGUGAAAGGUACCGGCUCAACCGGUAUAGGCUCCGGAAACUGAUGGACUGGAGUACAGGAGAGGGUGGCGGAACUCCAUGUGUAGCGGUAAAAUGCGUAGAUAUAUGGAAGAACACCGGUGGCGAAGGCGGCCGCCCGGACUGUAACUGACGCUGAGGCACGAAAGCGUGGGGAGCAAAUAGGAUUAGAUACCCCUGUA
Molecule: ribosomal RNA, 463 nt
Filed under: uncultured bacterium
Lineage: Bacteria
Description: partial 16S ribosomal RNA
Rfam family: Bacterial small subunit ribosomal RNA
Source: RNAcentral